AAAGCACACAUUGAGAAGCACAGGUGCUUUGUUACUGUUCAUUCAGGGUACACUUGAUUGUGAAAUAUGCAUUUUAAUAAAAAUUUUGAAAAUACAAUUUCAUUUGCAUGUCAUACUGCACAAGUUUACGUACUCCAGUGGGAAUUCCACACCACACCACUUAGGCGCUUACAACUAUGACUUGCUAUCUUCCUAGAGCUAAAGGCUGCUCAUUUGCUAUAGGUGCCCUGACUGUGCACCUGGGAUAGUCUUCUUGAGGAGAUUAGCUACCACCUUUCCUUGUGGUGAAUAAGCCAUGAUUCCAGUUUAAGCUUCUUUCUGUACCUAGAAUUUCAAUGGGAUAAAGUGUAUUCCAUCAGCAAGUACUCUUAUUUGAUCUGACAUGGUACCUUGUGUGGCAUCAGCCUGAUCCUAGAGAGAGAGAGAUAUUUUUUCCCUUUGGGUUGUUUUUUGUUUUGG
This 459-nucleotide unclassified non-coding RNA is filed under the name Hevea brasiliensis (rubber tree). The record is from RNAcentral. Lineage: Eukaryota; Viridiplantae; Streptophyta; Magnoliopsida; Malpighiales; Euphorbiaceae.